Molecule: ribosomal RNA, 429 nt
Filed under: Gemmatimonadota bacterium
Lineage: Bacteria; Pseudomonadati; Gemmatimonadota
Description: Gemmatimonadetes bacterium partial 16S ribosomal RNA
Rfam family: Bacterial small subunit ribosomal RNA
Source: RNAcentral
UAGGGAAUCUUCGGCAAUGGACGAAAGUCUGACCGAGCAACGCCGCGUGAGUGAAGAAGGUUUUCGGAUCGUAAAACUCUGUUGUUAGAGAAGAACAAGGACGUUAGUAACUGAACGUCCCCUGACGGUAUCUAACCAGAAAGCCACGGCUAACUACGUGCCAGCAGCCGCGGUAAUACGUAGGUGGCAAGCGUUGUCCGGAUUUAUUGGGCGUAAAGCGAGCGCAGGCGGUUUCUUAAGUCUGAUGUGAAAGCCCCCGGCUCAACCGGGGAGGGUCAUUGGAAACUGGGAGACUUGAGUGCAGAAGAGGAGAGUGGAAUUCCAUGUGUAGCGGUGAAAUGCGUAGAUAUAUGGUGGAACACCAGUGGCGAAGGCGGCUCUCUGGUCUGUAACUGACGCUGAGGCUCGAAAGCGUGGGGAUCAAACAGG